This 253-nucleotide ribosomal RNA is filed under the name uncultured bacterium. RNAcentral's name for it is "partial 16S ribosomal RNA". It matches the Rfam family "Bacterial small subunit ribosomal RNA", at positions 524 to 776 of the family's 1533-position model. The record is from RNAcentral.
UACAGAGGUCUCAAGCGUUGUUCGGAGUCAUUGGGCGUAAAGGGUGCGUAGGCGGCGCGGUAAGUCGGGUGUGAAAUCUCGGAGCUUAACUCCGAAACUGCAUUCGAUACUGCCGUGCUUGAGGACUGGAGAGGAGACUGGAAUUUACGGUGUAGCGGUGAAAUGCGUAGAUAUCGUAAGGAAGACCAGUGGCGAAGGCGGGUCUCUGGACAGUUCCUGGCGCUGAGGCACGAAGGCCAGGGGAGCAAACGGG